Molecule: unclassified non-coding RNA, 328 nt
Filed under: soil metagenome
Description: partial contains 5.8S ribosomal RNA, internal transcribed spacer 2, and large subunit ribosomal RNA
Rfam family: 5.8S ribosomal RNA (bases 1-120)
Source: RNAcentral
GAUGAAGAACGUAGCGAAAUGCGAUAAGUAAUGUGAAUUGCAGAAUUCAGUGAAUCAUCGAAUCUUUGAACGCACAUUGCGCCCCUUGGUAUUCCGAGGGGCAUGCCUAUUCGAGCGUCAUUAUCACCCCUCAAGCCUAGCUUGGUGUUGAGGCCUGCUGUCAAGGCAGCCUCUAAAAUCAGUGGCAGUGCUGUCAGGCUCUAAGCGUAGUAAAUCUAAUCGCUAUAGACACCUGGUGGACACUCGCCAGAACCCCCCCAUUUUUUAAUGAUUGACCUCGGAUUAGGUAGGGAUACCCGCUGAACUUAAGCAUAUCAUAAGCGGAGGA